GAUGAAGAACGCAGCGAAAUGCGAUAAGUAAUGCGAAUUGCAGAAUUCAGUGAGUCAUCGAAUCUUUGAACGCACAUUGCGCCCUGUGGUAUUCCGCAGGGCAUGCCUGUUCGAGCGUCAUUUCAACCCUCAAGCCUCGCUUGGUGUUGGGCCCUGCCCGCCGCGGCCGGCCCUAAAGAUAGUGGCGGCGCCGCCUGGCCCUCAGCGUAGUACAGCUCUCGCUCCAGGGUCCGGCGGCAGCCUGCCAGAACCCCCCAACUCUGUGGUUGACCUCGGAUCAGGUAGGGAUACCCGCUGAACUUAAGCAUAUUCAAUAAGCGGAGGA
RNAcentral lists this unclassified non-coding RNA (325 nucleotides) under soil metagenome. RNAcentral's name for it is "partial contains 5.8S ribosomal RNA, internal transcribed spacer 2, and large subunit ribosomal RNA". The stretch from base 1 to 120 matches the Rfam family "5.8S ribosomal RNA", at positions 35 to 154 of the family's 154-position model. The record is from RNAcentral.